GGGGCAUAAUGAGGAUUUCUUAUUAGUCUGAAGUUUGGUUGAUUGAUAUAUAACCUCCUACUCAUUCUGA
Salvia splendens (bonfire salvia) is the source of this 70-nucleotide small nucleolar RNA. RefSeq annotates it as small nucleolar RNA Z105. The record is from RefSeq and is a predicted model, not a curated record. Lineage: Eukaryota; Viridiplantae; Streptophyta; Magnoliopsida; Lamiales; Lamiaceae. The transcript has a single exon.